AUUGAACGCUGGCGGCAGGCCUAACACAUGCCAGUCGAGCGAGCGGCGGACGGGUGAGUAAUGUCUGGGAAACUGCCAGAUGGAGGGGGAUCACUACUGGAAAAGGUAGCUAAUCCCGCAUACCAUCAGAUGUGCCCAUAUGGGAUUAGCUAGUAGGUGGGGUAAUGGCUCACCUAGGCGACGAUCCCUAGCUGGUCUGAGAGGAUGACCAGCCACACUGGAACGGAGAAACGGUCCAGACUCCUACGGGAGGCAGCAGUGGGGAAUAUUGCACAAUGGGCGCAAGCCUGAUGCAGCCAUGCCGCGUGUGUGAAGAAGGCCUUAGGGUUGUAAAGCACUUUCAGCGGGGAGGCGUUACCCGCAGAAGAAGCACCGGCUAACUCCGUGCCAGCAGCCGCGGUAAUAC
Molecule: ribosomal RNA, 406 nt
Filed under: uncultured bacterium
Lineage: Bacteria
Description: partial 16S ribosomal RNA
Rfam family: Bacterial small subunit ribosomal RNA
Source: RNAcentral